RNAcentral lists this ribosomal RNA (301 nucleotides) under uncultured bacterium. RNAcentral describes it as "partial 16S ribosomal RNA". It matches the Rfam family "Bacterial small subunit ribosomal RNA", at positions 509 to 807 of the family's 1533-position model. The record is from RNAcentral.
CAGCAGCCACGGGAAUACGUAGGUGGCAAGCGUUGUCCGGAAUCAUUGGGCGUAAAGGGCCCGCAGGCGGUUUCUUAAGUCUGAUGUGAAAGCCCCCGGCUCAACCGGGGAGGGUCAUUGGAAACUGGGAAACUUGAGUGCAGAAGAGGAGAGUGGAAUUCCACGUGUAGCGGUGAAAUGCGUAGAGAUGUGGAGGAACACCAGUGGCGAAGGCGACUCUCUGGUCUGUAACUGACGCUGAGGAGCGAAAGCGUGGGGAGCGAACAGGAUUAGAUACCCGUGUAGUCCCUGUCUCUUAUAC